UUUGAUUUCUGACUUUUGAUUCCUUAUAUUGGCUUGUUAAUACAUGAUCUUGGCUUAGUUUGUCACUCCCUCUCACUCUAAGUCCCGAAAUUGAAGAGAGAGAAGGGACUUGGAGCAAAUGAGAAGUAAAGUAAGCAUUUUUCUCUCUCUUUAAUCUAUAUAUAAUUGAUACAUUGUAUCUAACCUAGCAAGCUGGCACAAAAUGGGCUGAGAUAUCUGAUGUUUUAGAGCACAUGGUCAAUAUAUUAGGUCACCAACUCAUUAUUUUGGCAAGAUUUGAAUACUACCUAAAUAAAGAAUACAAAAAGGGUAUUCUAGACAUUUUACUAUCCAUUUUAAUGGCAUA
RNAcentral lists this long non-coding RNA (346 nucleotides) under Panax ginseng (ginseng). RNAcentral describes it as "long non-coding RNA (PGIN_LNC013360)". Lineage: Eukaryota; Viridiplantae; Streptophyta; Magnoliopsida; Apiales; Araliaceae. The record is from RNAcentral.